CGGGUGAGUAAUGUCUGGGAAACUGCCUGAUGGAGGGGGAUAACUACUGGAAACGGUAGCUAAUACCGCAUAACGUAGCAAGACCAAAGAGGGGGACCUUCGGGCCUCUUGCCAUCAGAUGUGCCCAGAUGGGAUUAGCUAGUAGGUGGGGUAACGGCUCACCUAGGCGACGAUCCCUAGCUGGUCUGAGAGGAUGACCAGCCACACUGGAACUGAGACACGGUCCAG
This 228-nucleotide ribosomal RNA is filed under the name uncultured Enterobacterales bacterium. Its description in RNAcentral is "partial 16S ribosomal RNA". It matches the Rfam family "Bacterial small subunit ribosomal RNA", at positions 103 to 334 of the family's 1533-position model. The record is from RNAcentral. Lineage: Bacteria; Pseudomonadati; Pseudomonadota; Gammaproteobacteria; Enterobacterales.